RNAcentral lists this transfer RNA (65 nucleotides) under Polyplax reclinata. RNAcentral's name for it is "tRNA-Met". Lineage: Eukaryota; Metazoa; Arthropoda; Insecta; Psocodea; Polyplacidae. The record is from RNAcentral.
AUGUAAGUAGGCUAUACUUAAGCCUUCAGACCCAUGCUCUGACUAAGUGAUUUUCACCUUACAUA